UGUGAUGUUGAUGAUACUACCAUGGUAUUUACUAUUAACUUAAUAUCAGCAAAAUAAUUUCUCAUGUGAUUGAACUCAAGCAGGCAUUCAGUUCUGGGACAAGUAUCCUGUGUGAAUCGCUUAAACCUGUCAAGGAAUCUGUAGUGCCCAUGUUGCAGCUCCAAAAAGACAAUGAACAACAUGAAAGUAGCGUAUCCAUUGAUAUAGAGAAAGUAUCCAGGUUUACUGAUAAUGAUCAUGUACUCUCUCCUGGAAAUGAUAAAUAUCCAGCUCCUUCAACCCCACAAUUGAUGCAUGGGACAAGAUUGUUAGACGAUGGUGAUUGCCAAGAGCAGACUAAUUGCUCAACAGAAAAAGAAAGUGGGGAACAUGAUGGAGAAUCUAAAUCUGUCGAAACUACAUGUGGAAAUUUGAAUGCUGAAACUGAAAGUACUGCUCAAGAGAGGAAAUCGGAAAUUACUUUGGCUAGGAAGGAAGUGGAUUUAGUUGACACUUCCAAGGGUGAGAGUGUUGCUUCUCUACAUACACAAAAAAGAAAGGUUGUAAGCAACACUGACAAAAAUACAAAAUCUCCAAAUAAAGUAGGUGUUCGUAGUGAUUCAUGUGAGAUAAGACCAAGUCGGAAGAAGAUGAAAGUAAGUUGCUUUACGACUAUUCAUUGAUGUUUCGGUUCCUCUAACCCUCUUGCCCAUGCUGCUGUUUGCUUGAAAAUUACAGUGACUGUCUGACACAUUUUGAAAAAUGUUUCCCAUUUAUUGUGCCUGCAUAUCCUGGAGAGUUGAUGUAGAAAACUCGGACAUGAUUCCAUUUGAUAUUCAUAAUCAUGAAGUGAUAAUUAACUGAAAACUAGUAAUGGAAGUGUCAAACUUAACUAAUCUAUGAUUGGAAAUCUAGGAAAUACUCUUACAGUUUUGGUACUUGUUUUGGUCGCAGGUAGACUGGACGCCUGAGCUGCACAAAAAAUUUGUGAAGGCAGUUGAGCAACUAAGCAUUGAUCAAGCCAUUCCUUCUAGAAUAUUAGAAUUAAUGAAAGUGGAGGGCUUGACAAGGCAUAAUGUGGCAAGCCAUCUUCAGGUCAUUUUAUACAUUACUGAGAAUUAUGGUUGAUCAAUUUUGUAUCCGCAAUACUGAAACAAGUUUUUAAAUAAACAGAAGUACAGAAUGCACAAGAGACAAAUCUUUCCCAAGGAAGAAGAUCGGAAAUGGUUGAAUCAAAGAGAAAGGAGCUAUUGUCUUCAAAGACCAAUUAUGGCCUUUCCUCCAUAUCAUUCUAAUCACACACUUCCUCUGGCUCCUGUAUAUCCUAUGUGGGGACAAUCUAGCAGUCAAACGGCUGGCAUGCAGAUUUGGAGCUCUCCUGGUUAUCCCUUGUGGCAGCCUACUGCUGAAAAUUGGCACUGGAAACCAUUUCCAAGGGUAAUAUUUUAUUUUCGGAAUAUGAUGUUUUUCUUCCAUGUUAUAUAGCUCUCAGGCUUGUGAGAUGUCGAUUUUGCGGUUAUGAAUGUAGUUUGACCUAUGGUUACUUGAUCUUUCAGAUGCAUGCAGAUGCAUGGGGCUGUCCAGUGUUACCAGUACCACCACCUCCUCAAGCUCCUUUUCCCUACUCUCAGGUUAGUAUCAGCAAAACGAAGAUAUUAACCUAGUAUCUGUAGUAUUUUGCAUGUUAAUGAUUAGUGUCUCUCUAUGCAUGAUUCAUUUUUUCUAGUUAUUUAUCUGUGAUACUAAUCAUAUAUUUUUCAUCAAACCUCAGAAUAUGCCUGCGUUGCUCAAUGCUGAUGCUGCAGAUCACACGUUUACCAUGCCACAAAGUUCCUUAGAGCAUUAUCCGGUAUGCAACACUGUCAGUUUUUUUCUACUUGAUCAUGGUGGCCACUGGCCAGUCACUCAUAUAUACAUGCAUUCUAAUUGGCUCUCAGGAACUUCAUGUUGAGAUGAAAUUAUAACUGAACUCAAAAGCCUUAGAAAGAUGACAAUGAGGAAACUUAAGUGUAUUGUACUCAAUCAGUGUAGAAUUGCAUGAAAUAGCUGGGGACGUUUAGAAGUAGGUUGGAAAUAGAUUUCUAACAGGCAUGCAUGUUACAAUAGUUAAGUCUUUGAUAAACUUUUGUAUAAACACUAAGAAGAAAAUAAAGAAAUAAAAUGGAUUAAUUUCUCUAAUAAGAUAAAAAGUUAUACAUAAUAUUGUGUCCAGUCAAGCACAUGUGAUAUGAGAUCAUGAUGGAUGUUGUUCUUGUAGUGCUAAAUCAAGUGGUGUAGUUCUAGCUAAACUUGAAUGCAACAGGGAUGAAGUCGUUGAGUCUUAUAAUAAUUAACUAAGCCAGUUUUUUAGUGAAAUCCAAACAAACUCAAUGAUCUCUCACCAUGUAGUGUGUUAUACCAUGCAUGCAUGCAGGCACAGGAGGUGGUUGACAAGGUUGUGAAAGAGGCAGUAAGCAAGCCAUGGUUACCCUUGCCUUUGGGCCUG
RNAcentral lists this long non-coding RNA (2464 nucleotides) under Phaseolus vulgaris (common bean). RNAcentral's name for it is "long non-coding RNA (PVUL_LNC004194)". Lineage: Eukaryota; Viridiplantae; Streptophyta; Magnoliopsida; Fabales; Fabaceae. The record is from RNAcentral.